AUUGAACGCUGGCGGCAGGCCUAACACAUGCAAGUCGAACGGUAACAGGAAGACGCUUGCUUCUUUGCUGACGAGUGGCGGACGGGUGAGUCAUGUCUGGGAAACUGCCUGAUGGAGGGGGAUAACUACUGGAAACGGUAGCUACUACCGCAUAACGUCGCAAGCCCAAAGAGGGGGACCUUCGGGCCUCUUGCCAUCGGAUGUGCCCAGAUGGGAUUAGCUAGUAGGUGGGGUAACGGCUCACCUAGGCGACGAUCCCUAGCUGGUCUGAGAGGAUGACCAGCCACACUGGAACUGAGACACGGUCCAGACUCCUACGGGAGGCAGCAGUGGGGAAUAUUGCACAAUGGGCGCAAGCCUGAUGCAGCCAUGCCGCGUGUAUGAAGAAGGCCUUCGGGUUGUAAAGUACUUUCAGCGGGGAGGAAGGGAGUAAAGUUAAUACCUUUGCUCAUUGACGUUACCCGCAGAAGAAGCACCGGCUAACUACGUG
This 490-nucleotide ribosomal RNA is filed under the name uncultured bacterium. RNAcentral describes it as "partial 16S ribosomal RNA". It matches the Rfam family "Bacterial small subunit ribosomal RNA", at positions 30 to 507 of the family's 1533-position model. The record is from RNAcentral.